Molecule: ribosomal RNA, 541 nt
Filed under: Bactrocera unistriata
Lineage: Eukaryota; Metazoa; Arthropoda; Insecta; Diptera; Tephritidae
Description: partial 16S ribosomal RNA
Rfam family: Bacterial large subunit ribosomal RNA
Source: RNAcentral
UUAACAAAAACAUGUCUUUUUGAGUUAAUUUUAAAGUCUGACCUGCCCACUGAAAUUUUUUAAAUGGCCGCAGUAUUCUAACUGUGCAAAGGUAGCAUAAUCAUUAGUCUUUUAAUUGAAGGCUGGUAUGAACGGUUGGACGAGGUAUAAGCUGUUUCAUGUAAAUUUAUAAUAGAAUUUUAUAUUUUAGUCAAAAAGCUAAAAUUUAAUUAAAAGACGAGAAGACCCUAUAAAUCUUUAUAUUUUAUGUUGUUUAGAUUUUUUGGAUUUAUUUUAUUUUUAUAAUUUAGAAUAUUUUGUUGGGGUGAUAUUAAAAUUUAAUGAACUUUUAAUUAAUUAGAAUCAUUAAUUUAUGUUUUAUUGAUCCAUUACUAGUGAUUAUAAGAUUAAGUUACUUUAGGGAUAACAGCGUAAUUUUUUUGGAGAGUUCAUAUCGAUAAAAAAGUUUGCGACCUCGAUGUUGGAUUAAGAUAUAAUUUUAGGUGUAGCCGCUUAAAUGUUAAGUCUGUUCGACUUUUAAAUUCUUACGUGAUCUGAGUUC